ACGCACGCUGGCGGCGUGCCUAAUCCAUGCAAGUCGAGCGGACGGAUGGGAGCUUGCUCCCAGACCGUCAGCGGCGGACGGGUGAGUAGCACGUGGGCAACCUGCCUGUAAGACUGGGAUAACUCCGGGAAACCGGGGCUAAUACCGGAUAACUCUUUCCCUCACAUGAGGGAAAGCUGAAAGAUGGCAUCUCGCUAUCACUUACAGAUGGGCCCGCGGCGCAUUAGCUAGUUGGUGAGGUAACGGCUCACCAAGGCGACGAUGCGUAGCCGACCUGAGAGGGUGAUCGGCCACACUGGGACUGAGACACGGCCCAGACUCCUACGGGAGGCAGCAGUAGGGAAUCUUCCGCAAUGGACGAAAGUCUGACGGAGCAACGCCGCGUGAGUGAUGAAGGUUUUCGGAUCGUAAAACUCUGUUGUCAGGGAAGAACAAGUACCGGAGUAACUGCCGGUACCUUGACGGUACCUGACCAGAAAGCCACGGCUAACUACGUG
RNAcentral lists this ribosomal RNA (497 nucleotides) under uncultured bacterium. RNAcentral's name for it is "partial 16S ribosomal RNA". It matches the Rfam family "Bacterial small subunit ribosomal RNA", at positions 29 to 507 of the family's 1533-position model. The record is from RNAcentral.